Molecule: long non-coding RNA, 2057 nt
Organism: Neofelis nebulosa (Clouded leopard)
Lineage: Eukaryota; Metazoa; Chordata; Mammalia; Carnivora; Felidae
Exons: 3
Source: RefSeq, a predicted model, not a curated record
AAGCGUCCGACUCUCGAUUUUGGCUCAGGUCAUGAAUUCAAGGUUCAUGAGCUCGAGCCCCGCGUCGGGCUCUGUGCUGACGGCACAGCCUGCUUUGGAUUCUCUCUCUUUCUCUGUCCCCCUCCCCUGCUCGUGCUCACUCUCUCUCUCAAAAUAAAUAAGCAUUAAAAAAAUUCAGUUUUAUCAGCAGUAAGGGGGCAACACAAGGCCAGGAGGAAAACCGGCUUCCUGUCUCUGCCCCCAGCAUCCCUCAAGUAGAAAAGGUGAUUUAGGAAGAGACCGACCAAGCUGAUCUCAGUUCUUGCAGAAGCCUGCUGCGAUUUACUACGGAGACAGACCUCUCAGAACAGCCUGGGGCAGCGGGCCCUUCGGCAGGACGGGCAGCGAUCACGGGACGGUGUUACUGGCUAUCCUGUGUGUGCAUGCUGCCGUAGAAAUCCCCAGGGAAUUUUAUAAUAAUUUGCAUGACUGUUCCCACCCCCCCCCCCAAGGUACUAUUUUUUUCAAAUUAUAAAAAAUCUCAAUUGUACAUAAGUGGAAAGAAUGAUGCAGGGAACUUCCCAUAUCCACCACCCAUCUUAACAGUUUUACCAACAUAGGGCCAUUCUUGUGUCCUCUCGUGUUCCCACCACCCUCCCCCAUUCCGGUGGUUGAAGCAAAUCCCUGAUGUCGUGUUACAGGGGUUGGGGGUGACUCAGCUCCUGUGAUUGGUGGUCUCGUGUGAAAUCUAUCAUUGAGAACAGUUGUGUGUUGGGGUGCCUGGGUGGCUUGGUUGAUUAAGCAUCCGACUUAAACUUUUAACUUAAAAAAAAAUUUUUUUUUAAUGUUUAUUUACUUUUGAGAGAGAGAGAGAGAGACAGCGUGUGAGCCGGGGAGGGGCAGAGAGAGAGGGAACCACAGAUUCCGAAGCAGGCUCCAGGCUCCGAGCUGUCAGCACAGAGCCCGACACGGGGCUCGAACCCAUGAACUGUGAGAUCAUGAUCUGAGCCGAAGUCAGAUGCUUAACUGACUGAGCCAUCCGGGCACCCCAAACUUAACUUUUUUAAAUGUUUUACUUAUUUUUGAGAGAGAGAGUGUGUGAGCAGGGGAGGGGCAGAGAGAGGGAGACACAGAAUCCGAAGCAGGCUCCAGACUCCGAGCUGUCAGCACAGAGUGCGACACGGGGCUCGAACCCAUGAACUGUGAGAUCAUGACCUGAGCUGAAGUUGGACGUAAAUUUUUUUUUUUUUUUUUUUUUAAGAAAAAGAAAACAGCUGUGUGCCAUGCUGGCUCCUGCCCUGUGGGCUCGAGGACAGAGGGUCCCAGCAGCUUGCCUCCUGUGUCCCCACUGCCGCAGAAACACAGAUGGUGCUGGAACAGCCGGGCAAGCCCAUGAGCCUUUCUUUAAAUCCUCUCCUGGCCCAGGGUUGGCCACAGCGGCUCUAGAGCUCCCUUCCACUCUGCCAUUCCUCCCAGGAAGGUUUGUCACCUGCCUGGGCCACAGCGUUGAAUGGGACACUGAAAUGAUACAGGGAAGGCUCCCACGUAACUGGCUGUUUGGGUUAGGGCUCCAGUUAGGGGAGAAAAAGAAUUAAGGUCCUCAAAACCUGCAAGGUGAGGUUUUAGAAAAACAUAGUUUCUCCAUCUUAUUUUUCAUCUGGAGCUUCCAUGGUCCCUGUGAGGUUUGGGGGGAGGCCCAGGUCCAGAAGGUUCCCCACACCGAGCAACCGUGGAGCCCGGAGCCCCCACCGCACCCCACUCCGUCUGAGCCUGUGAGAUCAGGACUCCUGGGUGGGAAGUAACAAGUGGCCAACGAUUGUUGUCAUUUUUCCUUCUCGUUUCCCAACCUGUGGCACUAACUUAUGGAAAGAGGACUGACCCUGUGACCAGGUCCCUGUCCCCAGCACACCCUCUCCAUCCCCCGACCUUGGCCUGGGGCAGGGCAAGGCCCCUUUCCAUGAAGCAAGAGGCUUGACUUUCAUUCCCUUAGAAGGUUUUUGCAUGAAGCAGAGAAAGCAGACAUGAGAAUUGCUACUUUUAAAUGAAAAUGGUCUAUUGGGAUGUUUCAGUUGAAGGAA